ACUCGUGGCUGAGUGUGCUAUGUGGGAGACACAAGAGACAGAGCGGCUAGAAUGGCAUAGGCUGCUGUGGCCAGGACAACGUGAAAGGAAGGUAAGGGGGGCUUUGCUUCUGGCUUUACGGUGUCUUGGCUUUAGCAGCCGUUGCGCCAUGUGCUAUUGCUGCUGCCUAGAGGCCAACCUAAGUCUCAUAUGGGGGCCCCCAGCCGACAACAUGGUCCCUAAGGCCAAAUUUCAAAUACCCCUGCCUACGGGCACAGCCCUCCCCCAUACCCGCGGCCUCCCCGGAGCCCCAGCCACUCAGGAAUUGGCCCUGCAGGGGUUCCCCCAGGCCCGGUCGUUCCCACAGACGUCCCAGGGCGCGUUCCCGCGGGCCCCGCGGUCGCUAGGCUGCAGGCUGGGGCCCUGGCCCUCUCAGCGGGGCUGGCAGAGAGCGGUGCAGACGGCAGCGCAUGGCGGCAGAGGCUAUGUAGAUGGUUUUGCGAUGUGGUUGAUGGCCGCCCAGGACUGACUCUGGGCUGUAGAGCCAGCCCCCUCUUGGCCUUGGAGCUGGGGAAGAAUCUGAACCAGAGUGGCACUGCCUGAGAGGAGCAGCUGGCCGGAGCCAAGGGAUCUGCAGCCUGGAGGCAAAUGCUUGCCGUUGUCUUAAAGUCCUAGAGAGCACUAGAAUAGUGUCAACUAUAACGGACUUUAGAAACCUAAGGUAGCUGAGGACAGUGCCACUUCAAUGUACCCCUCUACAUGACAUCACUUUCCUAGCCAUCACCGCUCUACUGGUAAUGGAGGCCACCCUUCUGCUGUGGUAUCAUGUUAUCAGUAUCUUUUGGACUCAGCCUCAGACACUGAUAAGGACGACAGUUGUGCCCUUACUUAGCCUCCCAACAGCAGCCCAACACCAGCUUCUCUUUAGAAAAUACUCCACAAGGCAGUAAGUCGGCAAGCCUGGUUUCAUAGCGCUUGCUGUCUCUUUCAAAACCAGCCAAUUCGGUGCCUCCUGUUGGAGCCUGCUUUUUCUUAAAAACUGGCCUCAGAAUUUCAACCCGGGUCAUCAUUUUAAUUGGGCACAGUAACUCCCUUUGCUGUUAAGUAUAAUAAAAUGCAGUUUCUGGCAUAGGUGGCAUU
Molecule: long non-coding RNA, 1119 nt
Organism: Mus musculus (house mouse)
Lineage: Eukaryota; Metazoa; Chordata; Mammalia; Rodentia; Muridae
Gene: Fam246a
Product: family with sequence similarity 246 member A
Exons: 2
Source: RefSeq